This 629-nucleotide ribosomal RNA is filed under the name uncultured cyanobacterium. RNAcentral's name for it is "bacterial SSU rRNA". It matches the Rfam family "Bacterial small subunit ribosomal RNA", at positions 136 to 797 of the family's 1533-position model. The record is from RNAcentral. Lineage: Bacteria; Bacillati; Cyanobacteriota.
GGAGGGGACAACAGUUAGAAAUGACUGCUAAUACCCGAUGUGCCUACGGGUGAAAUAUUUAUAGCCUGAAGAGGAGCUCGCGUCCGAUUAGCUAGUUGGUGGGGUAAGAGCCUACCAAGGCAGCGAUCGGUAGCUGGUCUGAGAGGAUGAGCAGCCACACUGGGACUGAGACACGGCCCAGACUCCUACGGGAGGCAGCAGUGGGGAAUUUUCCGCAAUGGGCGAAAGCCUGACGGAGCAAUACCGCGUGAGGGAGGAAGGCUUUUGGGUUGUAAACCUCUUUUUUCAAGGAAGAAGAAAGUGACGGUACUUGAAGAAUAAGCAUCGGCUAACUCCGUGCCAGCAGCCGCGGUAAUACGGAGGAUGCAAGCGUUAUCCGGAAUCAUUGGGCGUAAAGCGUCCGCAGGUGGCAUAUCAAGUCUGCUGUCAAAGACAGAAGCUCAACUUCUGGUCGGCAGUGGAAACUGGUAAGCUAGAGUACGGUAGGGGUUGAGGGAAUUCCCAGUGUAGCGGUGAAAUGCGUAGAUAUUGGGAAGAACACCAGUGGCGAAAGCGCUCAACUGGGCCGUAACUGACACUCAGGGACGAAAGCUAGGGUAGCGAAAGGGAUUAGAUACCCCUGUAGUCNA